Molecule: ribosomal RNA, 460 nt
Filed under: uncultured bacterium
Lineage: Bacteria
Description: partial 16S ribosomal RNA
Rfam family: Bacterial small subunit ribosomal RNA
Source: RNAcentral
CCUACGGGUGGCAGCAGUGAGGAAUAUUGGUCAAUGGGCGGGAGCCUGAACCAGCCAAGCCGCGUGCGGGAAGAAGGUACAGCGUAUCGUAAACCUCUUUUGUCAGGGAACAAAGGCGGGGACUAGUCCCCGGUUGAGGGUACCUGAAGAAAAAGCAUCGGCUAACUCCGUGCCAGCAGCCGCGGUAAUACGGAGGAGGCGAGCGUUAUCCGGAUUUAUUGGGUUUAAAGGGUGCGCAGGCGGCCUGUUAAGGCAGGGGUGAAAGGCCGGGGGUCAACCCCGGCGAGGCCGUUGAAACUGGCGGGCUUGAGUUGGAGAGAGGUAGGCGGAAUGCGCGGUGUAGCGGUGAAAUGCUUAGAUAUCGCGAAGAACCCCGAUUGCGAAGGCAGCGUACCGGCUCCACACUGACGCUGAGGCACGAAAGCGUGGGUAUCGAACAGGAUUAGAUACCCUUGUAGUC